This 466-nucleotide ribosomal RNA is filed under the name uncultured bacterium. Its description in RNAcentral is "bacterial SSU rRNA". It matches the Rfam family "Bacterial small subunit ribosomal RNA", at positions 329 to 792 of the family's 1533-position model. The record is from RNAcentral.
GGCCAGACUCCUACGGGAGGCAGCAGUGAGGAAUAUUGGUCAAUGGACGGAAGUCUGAACCAGCCAUGCCGCGUGCAGGAAGACGGCUCUAUGAGAUGUAAACUGCUUUUGUACAAGGGUAAGCCUGAAUACGUGUAUUCAGCUGAAAGUACUGUACGAAUAAGGAUCGGCUAACUCCGUGCCAGCAGCCGCGGUAAUACGUAGGUGGCAAGCGUUGUCCGGAUUUACUGGGUGUAAAGGGCGUGCAGCCGGGCUGACAAGUCAGAUGUGAAAUCCCGCGGCUCAACCGCGGAACUGCAUUUGAAACUGUCAGCCUUGAGUACCGGAGAGGUCAUCGGAAUUCCUUGUGUAGCGGUGAAAUGCGUAGAUAUAAGGAAGAACGCCAGUGGCGAAGGCGGAUGACUGGACGGCAACUGACGGUGAGGCGCGAAAGCGUGGGGAGCAAACAGGAUUAGAUCCCCUGGUA